GGAAUAUUGGUCAAUGGACGCAAGUCUGAACCAGCCAUGCCGCGUGGAGGAUGAAGGUCCUCUGGAUUGUAAACUUCUUUUAUUUGGGAAGAAAUGAUUUUUCUAAAGUACUUGACGGUACCAGAUGAAUAAGCACCGGCUAACUCCGUGCCAGCAGCCGCGGUAAUACGGAGGGUGCAAGCGUUAUCCGGAUUCACUGGGUUUAAAGGGUGCGUAGGCGGGUAUGUAAGUCAGUGGUGAAAUCUCCGGGCUUAACUCGGAAACUGCCAUUGAUACUAUCUAUCUUGAAUACCGUGGAGGUAAGCGGAAUAUGUCAUGUAGCGGUGAAAUGCUUAGAUAUGACAUAGAACACCGAUUGCGAAGGCAGCUCACUACGCAAAUAUUGACGCUGAGGCACGAAAGCGUGGGGAUCAAACAG
RNAcentral lists this ribosomal RNA (418 nucleotides) under Sphingomonas sp. sph1. RNAcentral describes it as "bacterial SSU rRNA". It matches the Rfam family "Bacterial small subunit ribosomal RNA", at positions 358 to 775 of the family's 1533-position model. The record is from RNAcentral. Lineage: Bacteria; Pseudomonadati; Pseudomonadota; Alphaproteobacteria; Sphingomonadales; Sphingomonadaceae.